Molecule: non-coding RNA, 28 nt
Filed under: Rattus norvegicus (Norway rat)
Lineage: Eukaryota; Metazoa; Chordata; Mammalia; Rodentia; Muridae
Source: RNAcentral
UUAAUAUGAUGUAUGUUGCUGUGACCUC